Molecule: ribosomal RNA, 450 nt
Filed under: uncultured bacterium
Lineage: Bacteria
Description: bacterial SSU rRNA
Rfam family: Bacterial small subunit ribosomal RNA
Source: RNAcentral
CGAGUUUGAUCCUGGCUCAGAACGAACGCUGGCGGCAGGCUUAACACAUGCAAGUCGAGCGCCCCGCAAGGGGAGCGGCAGACGGGUGAGUAACGCGUGGGAACAUACCCUUUAGUACGGAAUAGCCUCGGGAAACUGGGAUUAAUACCGUAUACGCCCUACGGGGGAAAGAUUAUCGCUAAAGGAUUGGCCCGCGUUGGAUUAGCUAGUUGGUGAGGUAAUGGCUCACCAAGGCGACGAUCUAUAGCUGGUCUGAGAGGAUGAUCAGCCACACUGGGACUGAGACACGGCCCAGACUCCUACGGGAGGCAGCAGUGGGGAAUAUUGGACAAUGGGCGAAAGCCUGAUCCAGCCAUGCCGCGUGAGUGAUGAAGGCCCUAGGGUUGUAAAGCUCUUUCGCUAGAGAAGAUAAUGACGGUAUCUAGUAAAGAAGCCCCGGCUAACUUCGUG